Ictalurus punctatus (channel catfish) is the source of this 925-nucleotide long non-coding RNA. NCBI's taxonomy places the organism in Eukaryota, Metazoa, Chordata, Actinopteri, Siluriformes, Ictaluridae. The record is from Ensembl.
CACACCACGAACUCCACUUCCCAGCCUGCACCGCGGCCUACAAACAUGGCCGCCACGGACUGCGAUUCCCCGACCACUCACACACUGGUACGUUCAUUCUCACCUUCAUUUUAAUCACCUACAUCCAAUUCACUGAACGAUCACAGCCACGGUAUAAAAGGACGUUCCUUUCACUCGCUCUUUUGUGCUCUGGGUGAUGGUUUUCAGAAGCAGGAUUCAAGAAUGACAGAAAGAUGGAGGAAGCAAAGUACAGAGCUGGAAUUUCCUCAGGGAUAUUAUGGAACAGAUUUUGUGGAUUGAGAAGGGAAACAUGAGUUUAAUCCGUUUUAAAGAAACAUUUUCUAUCAUAAAUUGUAGCAAAAUAUUUUUUUAAGUGAAUGGGCCCGUGACCCUGAAAAGGAGUAAGCGGUAGAAGACGGAUGGAUGGCUGGAUGGUCUGAAUGCUUUUUUCUACAGUCUGUCAUUUUGAAUCAGCAGGGAAUGGAAGGAAUGAACCUGAGAACAACUUGCAUCUCUGCCCCGCCCUGCUCAUGAAUGUGUGAAGGACUGGUCAUGUGUUUUUAGAUGAGUCCAGCUGAGCAGGUUCUUCUGGGUGAUCUGGGUGUGGCUGUCAUCACCUACACUCUCGCGUGCACACACACAGCCUAAUGAUGACCUCCUUCGCUUGCAUCGUCACCUCUUUGGACCGCACAUUGAGAGUUCCCAAGAACGGCUAACAAAUGCAAAUUCAACGGUUGGGAUCAACCCCGGACCUUUUAUCCCCUCAAUUUGUCAUGAAAUAAGGAGGAAACAGGCCAAACUUGGCCAUGAAACUGCUUAUCAAUCAAGUGUCCGAUUACUUUUGAGCUUGUGAAAAUCGCUGUAAAUAUGGCUGUAAUUCCUAAACAGUUAAUGCAAUAUUUUUGUUAAACCCCUUGAAUUAAAG